UACGGAGGAUGCGAGCGUUAUCCGGAUUUAUUGGGUUUAAAGGGUGCGUAGGCGGCCUGCCAAGUCAGCGGUAAAAUUGCGGGGCUCAACCCCGUACAGCCGUUGAAACUGCCGGGCUCGAGUGGGCGAGAAGUAUGCGGAAUGCGUGGUGUAGCGGUAAAAUGCAUAGAUAUCACGCAGAACCCCGAUUGCGAAGGCAGCAUACCGGCGCCCUACUGACGCUGAGGCACGAAAGUGCGGGGAUCAAAUAGG
This 252-nucleotide ribosomal RNA is filed under the name uncultured bacterium. RNAcentral's name for it is "partial 16S ribosomal RNA". It matches the Rfam family "Bacterial small subunit ribosomal RNA", at positions 524 to 776 of the family's 1533-position model. The record is from RNAcentral.